Schizophyllum commune H4-8 is the source of this 79-nucleotide non-coding RNA. The record is from Rfam. Lineage: Eukaryota; Fungi; Basidiomycota; Agaricomycetes; Agaricales; Schizophyllaceae.
GGCCGCCUGGCGUAAUGGCAACGCGUCUGACUACGACGCUGUAAUCAGGAGAUUGCAGGUUCGACCCCUGCGGUGGUCA